GCUCUGUUUUUCUCCGGCCUUGCAUCCUAUAUUGGGGAUGCCGGUUCGCCGGCUAUGGAAAUAAAUGACCGUCGCAAUAAACCAUUCGGACCCGGGGGCAGUACCCGGCGCCUCCACCCAAGCCCAUCCUCCCCGGGUGGGUUUCGGCGGGGGCGAACCAGGAUCGACGAGGGCGUAAAGGACGUGUUUUUUCCCGGUAUUGUUCCGCCGUUAUCGGGCUAUGCAAUAGUUGCAAACGACAACUAUGCUCCGGUUGCUCAGGCUGCGUAACGCAGUUUGAAAGACCAAUCUAAAGUCCUAGCGGGUUAAGCUCCGCUAGGCGGGGUCCGGAGGCACCUGGCAACAGAAGCCUCCACU
Molecule: transfer-messenger RNA, 357 nt
Filed under: Bradyrhizobium archetypum
Lineage: Bacteria; Pseudomonadati; Pseudomonadota; Alphaproteobacteria; Hyphomicrobiales; Nitrobacteraceae
Description: Bradyrhizobium sp. WSM 1744 transfer-messenger RNA
Rfam family: Alphaproteobacteria transfer-messenger RNA
About the family: Bacterial tmRNA, also known as 10Sa RNA or SsrA, is named for its dual tRNA and mRNA-like properties. Its role is to liberate the mRNA from a stalled ribosome.
Source: RNAcentral